ACGGGAGGCAGCAGUGAGGAAUAUUGGUCAAUGGGCGGAAGCCUGAACCAGCCAAGUCGCGUGAAGGAUGAAGGUAUUAUGUAUUGUAAACUUCUUUAGCUGUGGAGCAAUAAUCGCCAUGCAUGGUGAGAUGAGAGUACACAGAGAAUAAGGAUCGGCUAACUCCGUGCCAGCAGCCGCGGUAAUACGGAGGAUCCGAGCGUUAUCCGGAUUUAUUGGGUUUAAAGGGUGCGCAGGCGGCUUUCUAAGUCAGUGGUUAAAUAGCGGUGCUCAACGCCGUCCUGCCAUUGAUACUGGAGAGCUUGAUUGCGGUCGAGGUUUGCGGAAUUCGUCGUGUAGCGGUGAAAUGCAUAGAUAUGACGAAGAACACCGAUUGCGUAGGCAGCAGACCAGGCCGUAAAUGACGCUCAUGCACGAAAGUGCGGGGAUCGAACAGGAUUAAUACCCUGGUA
RNAcentral lists this ribosomal RNA (452 nucleotides) under uncultured Porphyromonadaceae bacterium. RNAcentral's name for it is "bacterial SSU rRNA". It matches the Rfam family "Bacterial small subunit ribosomal RNA", at positions 341 to 792 of the family's 1533-position model. The record is from RNAcentral. Lineage: Bacteria; Pseudomonadati; Bacteroidota; Bacteroidia; Bacteroidales; Porphyromonadaceae.